RNAcentral lists this ribosomal RNA (429 nucleotides) under Onobrychis amoena subsp. amoena. RNAcentral's name for it is "eukaryotic LSU rRNA". The stretch from base 68 to 224 matches the Rfam family "5.8S ribosomal RNA". Lineage: Eukaryota; Viridiplantae; Streptophyta; Magnoliopsida; Fabales; Fabaceae. The record is from RNAcentral.
AAAACCCUUGAGGGCACUGGAGACACAACAUUACAGGANGUGUUAUGANNCAUGAUAAAAAAUAAACAAUUUUGGGCAAAAAAAUAUAUAGGAUCUUGCAUCCAUGAANAAAGUAGCGAAAUGGGGAACUUGGUGUGAAUCGCAGCAUCCCGUGACCCAUCGAGUUUUUGAACGCAAGUUGCGCCNGAAGCCAUUAGGUUGAGGGCAGGUCUGCCUGGGCGUCACAUAUCGUUGCCAUAUGCCCAAUGCCCAUCAUUGAUAGGCACUGUGCAGGGCGAAUGUUGGCUUCCCGUGAGCAUUGCUGUCUCACGGUUGGUUGAAAACUGAGUCCUUGGUAGGGUGUGUGCCAUGAUAGAUGGUGGUUGUGGACCCAGGCGCCAAUCAUGAUGGGCGUCCUNCACAGGCCUGGGGGACNCGGAUGAAAAUNUG